Long non-coding RNA from Lycium barbarum (goji berry), 842 nucleotides. RefSeq lists it as uncharacterized. The transcript has 2 exons. Lineage: Eukaryota; Viridiplantae; Streptophyta; Magnoliopsida; Solanales; Solanaceae. The record is from RefSeq and is a predicted model, not a curated record.
UUAAGGUUAAACAAUUACUAUUAAGGAAGUUUAUUUCUCUUGAAUGAGUACUUUUAAUGCUAAUAAUUUACUUACAUAAUGAGUGAAGUAUUAAAAAUAUGUUUUCAGUCUUCAAAUAAAACUACUCUAUGUUUUAUUUGAAAAGAUAAAUCCUACAUAUUUCGUAGUGUUGGAUAUUUAGGUUUGGGUUGCGGGUCGCCUAUGUGGACUAACCCGACCCGAUUAGAAGAGAUAAAGUUGAGAAGUUACAGGAAGUUAUUUUUAAGAAAACUUCCACUAUGUGACGUGACAUAUAGAGGGAGGGAUUAGAUUUCCUUUACUAGUUUUUCUUUUCCCCUUGAACACCUCUUGUCUCUUCGUCAACGGAGAAAAAUAUUUGUUUGGUUAUUAUCUCCCAAGAAACACACAAAGCACAACGGAGACAUCUAGUUCGUGGCAUAUUAACUUUGUUUCCUAGUGAUUCAAAGUUUGACUUGGGGCGAUUCUUUUGGUGGUAAGUUCAACGAUUCUUCCGCUGAGUUCAGCCUGCAUUUCACGAUGCAGGUACGGAUUUACAGGACGACGCAUCUGCUCAGUAGGAUUAUCCACGUAUCAGCUUUUGUUAAGCCCCAUCGGGUUUAGUCAUUAUUUACAUUUAUAUCAGUUAUGCAGUUAAGGUAUGCUGAGGGUCGUGUCCCAGCAAGUAUGUUCUACGGUUCAAGUUCAUGAUAGAGGUUUCAUAGACUAGUCAGUCAUGUUAUGUCAGAUAUUUGGAGUCGUCUAGCCAUUUUGGCUCGUUAUUAGUAUGUUUAUUCAGACUGUUCCGCAUUAUGAGAUUAUGAUAUUUUCAGACUUAUGAUUUA